AACGAACGCUGGCGGCAUGCCUAACACAUGCAAGUCGAACGAGACCUUCGGGUCUAGUGGCGCACGGGUGCGUAACGCGUGGGAACCUGCCCUUAGGUUCGGAAUAACUCCCCGAAAGGGGUGCUAAUACCGGAUAAUGUCUUCGGACCAAAGAUUUAUCGCCUUUGGAUGGGCCCGCGUUGGAUUAGCUAGUUGGUAGGGUAAAAGCCUACCAAGGCGACGAUCCAUAGCUGGUCUGAGAGGAUGAUCAGCCACACUGGGACUGAGACACGGCCCAGAAUCCUACGGGAGGCAGCAGUGGGGAAUAUUGGACACUGGGCGAAAGCCUGAUCCAGCAAUGCCGCGUGAGUGAUGAAGGCCUUAGGGUUGUAAAGCUCUUUUACCCGGGAUGAUAAUGACAGUACCGGGAGAAUAAGCUCCGGCUAACUACGUG
Molecule: ribosomal RNA, 433 nt
Filed under: uncultured bacterium
Lineage: Bacteria
Description: partial 16S ribosomal RNA
Rfam family: Bacterial small subunit ribosomal RNA
Source: RNAcentral